Molecule: ribosomal RNA, 1065 nt
Filed under: Triticum aestivum (bread wheat)
Lineage: Eukaryota; Viridiplantae; Streptophyta; Magnoliopsida; Poales; Poaceae
Description: partial small subunit ribosomal RNA
Source: RNAcentral
AUGAGGCCCGCGGCGGCCGCGGCCGCAUCCGUGCUGCAGGCGCCACGCCGCGCGCUCGGAGGGGUGUCGUUCGUCGCCGCCCGCUGCGCCUCCUCCUCCUCCUCUGUCGCCGCCGCCGCCACUGCGUACGAUCAUGUGUCGUUUGUCAAGGAAGUCGCCGUGACCGAUCCCCCGGAGCAUCUCAACUCUUUACUGAAUGUGCUUCAUGCACGAGGUGAGAAGAUAGUUUCUCCUGGAGCUAAAAGAGGGCUGAUUCCACUUGUUGUUCCCCUGUCGGAAAGCCCACAAGGUAACUUGACAUCCCUGCUGAGAUGGCCGACUGCUCCAAGUGGGAUGGAAAUGCCUGUAGUGGAAGUGCGUAGCCAUGGGCUAUGGCUUUUGGCUAAAAACGUCAAUCAAUAUAUUCAUAGAACACUUGUCGAGGCUGACAGCAGAGCUGAGAGUGGUGAUGAUUUAUGGUCUGCUGUUCGAGAAGAUUUAUGGUCUGCUGUAGGGGAAGCUGGUCCAAACAUUUACAAAAGAGGUGAUUUCAAAGAAUCGCAGAUGGCAGAUCUUGAUGUCUAUUUGUUGAAGAAGGUUGGACUCUUUCCAGACAUUCUAGAAAGGAAAGCAUCACGCCACCUGGAAAAAGGAGAUAAUGUCUCUGCUCUUAUUACUUCAGAAUUCUAUACUAGAGAUCAAUUUCCUGGAUUUGGAAGACCCUUUGUGUUCAACUCAGAAGUUCAAAAAAGAAUUGGGCGUACAUCUGAAGCCAAAGAAUCAGCUCGAGUGGCUUUGAAGUCACCAUGGUGGACACUAGGCUGUAGAUACGAAGAGGCAGCUGAACUAGCUGGGUGGGAGGAUGAGCAGAUCGAGUUCAUAAGAGAAAAGGUAUCCGAAGAGGGCAAACAAGAUGAUCUGAAGAAAGGAAAAGCUCCAGAGCAGGUGGUCCUUGACGAGGCGGCGUUUCUGAUGGAUCUGGCCACGGUCGACGGCAACUGGGACGAAGUCGUGGAUCGGAUCGCCGACUGCUACAGAGAGGCUGGGAUCCACGACAUUGCACAGUUCAUCGCUUAUAGGGAAUAG